CUAGAGCUGUACUUUGAGACAUGGGGUGGAGCUGUAGAGAAAAUCAUCACAAAUCCAGAGCAGAAAACUGUUAUUAUAAUUUUCCAGUCACAAGAUGCUGUACAAAGAAUUUUGGACAAGACCGAUCACAGUAUCUGCAAAGUGCCAGUCACCAUACAGCCAUACUUUGGUCUUGAUGAGAAUGAAAUCAGCAAGGGUCUGGAAGACACUCCACAGUCCAGUGCUGUGGUCAUUGAGAAAGUCCCAGACCAUCUUUCCAGAGAGUUCCUCAUGUUUUUAGUGGACAGUAUCUGUGGUACAUCUGAAGAUAAAUAUUCU
Long non-coding RNA from Ictalurus furcatus (blue catfish), 318 nucleotides. RefSeq lists it as uncharacterized. The record is from RefSeq and is a predicted model, not a curated record. NCBI's taxonomy places the organism in Eukaryota, Metazoa, Chordata, Actinopteri, Siluriformes, Ictaluridae. The transcript has 3 exons.